CCUACGGGAGGCAGCAGUGAGGAAUAUUGGUCAAUGGGCGGAAGCCUGAACCAGCCAAGUAGCGUGCAGGAUGACGGCCCUACGGGUUGUAAACUGCUUUUAUACGGGAAUAACGCGCCUUACGUGUAGGGCUUUGCAUGUACCGUAUGAAUAAGGACCGGCUAAUUCCGUUCCAGCAGCCGCGGUAAUACGGAGGGUCCGGGCGUGAGCCGGAUUUAUUGGGUUUAAAGGGAGCGUAGGCCGCAUGUCAAGCGUGCUGUGAAAUGUCCGGGCUCAACCCGGGCCUUGCAGCGCAAACUGGCGUGCUUGAGUCCGCGGAAAGCAGGCGGAAUUCGUGGUGUAGCGGGGAAAUGCUUAGAUAUGGCGAAGAACCCUGAUUGCGAAGGCAGGUUGCUGCAGCGGAACUGACGCUGAUGCUCGAAGGCGCGGGUAUCGAACGGGAUUAGAUACCCGAGUAGUC
Molecule: ribosomal RNA, 460 nt
Filed under: uncultured bacterium
Lineage: Bacteria
Description: partial 16S ribosomal RNA
Rfam family: Bacterial small subunit ribosomal RNA
Source: RNAcentral